AAACUUUCGUUGCAUGUUUGACGUUAAUUAUUAGAGUAAUACAUGAGUAAAAUCUUAUUAAAUGACGUAAUUAUAAUAAAUUAAACACUUAUUGCAAGCUAGCCUUCUUGAACUUUUCGGCAGUACACUUUGUUACAAUAUCAUCGAUGAAUGCUUGGAGAUUCUGCUGGGAUGAGCCACCAUCAGCCACCGCAUCCUCCGCCACUUUCUUCCACUUCAACGCGUUUUCUUUCAUCUCCGCGGCCUUUGCUCCACUCGUCGCCUCCCUCACGCACUUCUCCACUUCCUCUCGUGGAAUGAUUCUAUUUUCAUCCUCACCUCUACAUAAUUGAAUCCCAACUUUAAACACAUCCACUGAGUACUUAGCGU
Molecule: unclassified non-coding RNA, 369 nt
Filed under: Hevea brasiliensis (rubber tree)
Lineage: Eukaryota; Viridiplantae; Streptophyta; Magnoliopsida; Malpighiales; Euphorbiaceae
Source: RNAcentral